RNAcentral lists this ribosomal RNA (1384 nucleotides) under unidentified. Its description in RNAcentral is "bacterial SSU rRNA". It matches the Rfam family "Bacterial small subunit ribosomal RNA". The record is from RNAcentral.
AGCAUUUUAGUUUGCUUGCAAACUGAAGAUGGCGACCGGCGCACGGGUGAGUAACACGUAUCCAACCUGCCGAUAACUCCGGAAUAGCCUUUCGAAAGAAAGAUUAAUACCGGAUAGCAUACGAAUAUCGCAUGAUAUUUUUAUUAAAGAAUUUCGGUUAUCGAUGGGGAUGCGUUCCAUUAGUUUGUUGGCGGGGUAACGGCCCACCAAGACUACGAUGGAUAGGGGUUCUGAGAGGAAGGUCCCCCACAUUGGAACUGAGACACGGUCCAAACUCCUACGGGAGGCAGCAGUGAGGAAUAUUGGUCAAUGGGCGAGAGCCUGAACCAGCCAAGUAGCGUGAAGGAUGAAGGCUCUAUGGGUCGUAAACUUCUUUUAUAUGGGAAUAAAGUUUUCCACGUGUGGAAUUUUGUAUGUACCAUAUGAAUAAGGAUCGGCUAACUCCGUGCCAGCAGCCGCGGUAAUACGGAGGAUCCGAGCGUUAUCCGGAUUUAUUGGGUUUAAAGGGAGCGUAGGUGGAUUGUUAAGUCAGUUGUGAAAGUUUGCGGCUCAACCGUAAAAUUGCAGUUGAAACUGGCAGUCUUGAGUACAGUAGAGGUGGGCGGAAUUCGUGGUGUAGCGGUGAAAUGCUUAGAUAUCACGAAGAACUCCGAUUGCGAAGGCAGCUCACUAGACUGUCACUGACACUGAUGCUCGAAAGUGUGGGUAUCAAACAGGAUUAGAUACCCUGGUAGUCCACACAGUAAACGAUGAAUACUCGCUGUUUGCGAUAUACAGUAAGCGGCCAAGCGAAAGCAUUAAGUAUUCCACCUGGGGAGUACGCCGGCAACGGUGAAACUCAAAGGAAUUGACGGGGGCCCGCACAAGCGGAGGAACAUGUGGUUUAAUUCGAUGAUACGCGAGGAACCUUACCCGGGCUUAAAUUGCAACAGAAUAUAUUGGAAACAGUAUAGCCGUAAGGCUGUUGUGAAGGUGCUGCAUGGUUGUCGUCAGCUCGUGCCGUGAGGUGUCGGCUUAAGUGCCAUAACGAGCGCAACCCUUAUCUUUAGUUACUAACAGGUUAUGCUGAGGACUCUAGAGAGACUGCCGUCGUAAGAUGUGAGGAAGGUGGGGAUGACGUCAAAUCAGCACGGCCCUUACGUCCGGGGCUACACACGUGUUACAAUGGGGGGUACAGAAGGCGGCUACCUGGUGACAGGAUGCUAAUCCCAAAAACCUCUCUCAGUUCGGAUCGAAGUCUGCAACCCGACUUCGUGAAGCUGGAUUCGCUAGUAAUCGCGCAUCAGCCAUGGCGCGGUGAAUACGUUCCCGGGCCUUGUACACACCGCCCGUCAAGCCAUGAAAGCCGGGGGUACCUGAAGUACGUAACCGCAAGGAGCGUCCU